AAUCAACGCUGGCGGCGUGCCUAACACAUGCAAGUCGAACGCGAGAGGGGCUUCGGCCCCGACUGAGUGGCGAACGGGUGAGUAACGCGUGGGUGACCUACCUUCGAGUGGGGGAUAACGUCCCGAAAGGGACGCUAAUACCGCAUAACAUCCUGCUUUUGAAUGGGUGGAGAUCAAAAGCCGGGGAUCGCAAGACCUGGCGCUUGAUGAGGGGCCCGCGUCUGAUUAGCUAGUGGUGAGGUAACGGCCCACCAAGGCAACGAUCAGUAUCCGGCCUGAGAGGGCGGACGGACACACUGGGACUGAGACACAGCCCAGACUCCUACGGGAGGCAGCAGGUGGGGAAUUGUUCGCAAUGGGCGCAAGCCUGACGACGCAACGCCGCGUGGAGGAU
RNAcentral lists this ribosomal RNA (394 nucleotides) under uncultured bacterium. Its description in RNAcentral is "bacterial SSU rRNA". It matches the Rfam family "Bacterial small subunit ribosomal RNA", at positions 29 to 409 of the family's 1533-position model. The record is from RNAcentral.